ACGUCCGUCGUGAAGAGGGAAACAACCCAGACCGCCAGCUAAGGUCCCAAAGUCACAGUUAAGUGGGAAACGAUGUGGGAAGGCACAGACAGCCAGGAUGUUGGCUUAGAAGCAGCCAUCAUUUAAAGAAAGCGUAAUAGCUCACUGGUCGAGUCGGCCUGCGCGGAAGAUGUAACGGGGCUAAACUGUGCACCGAAGCUGCGGCAGCGACACUAUGUGUUGUUGGGUAGGGGAGCGUUCUGUAAGCCUGCGAAGGUGGCCUGUGAGGGUUGCUGGAGGUAUCAGAAGUGCGAAUGCUGACAUAAGUAACGAUAAUGCGGGUGAAAAGCCCGCACGCCGGAAGACCAAGGGUUCCUGUCCAACGUUAAUCGGGGCAGGGUGAGUCGACCCCUAAGGCGAGGCCGAAAGGCGUAGUCGAUGGGAAACAGGUUAAUAUUCCUGUACUUGGUGUUACUGCGAAGGGGGGACGGAGAAGGCUAUGUUAGCCGGGCGACGGUUGUCCCGGUUUAAGCAUGUAGGCGGAGG
RNAcentral lists this ribosomal RNA (525 nucleotides) under Klebsiella aerogenes. Its description in RNAcentral is "partial 23S ribosomal RNA". It matches the Rfam family "Bacterial large subunit ribosomal RNA", at positions 1001 to 1530 of the family's 2925-position model. The record is from RNAcentral. Lineage: Bacteria; Pseudomonadati; Pseudomonadota; Gammaproteobacteria; Enterobacterales; Enterobacteriaceae.